GAGUAAUGCGUGACCAACCUGCCCCAUGCUCCAGAAUAGCUCUUGGAAACGGGUGGUAAUGCUGGAUGCUCCAACUUGACGCAUGUCUUGUUGGGAAAGUGUUUAGUGGCAUGGGAUGGGGUCGCGUCCUAUCAGCUUGUAGGCGGGGUAAUGGCCCACCUAGGCUUCGACGGGUAGCCGGCCUGAGAGGGCGGACGGCCACAUUGGGACUGAGAUACGGCCCAGACUCCUACGGGAGGCAGCAGAG
RNAcentral lists this ribosomal RNA (247 nucleotides) under uncultured Gardnerella sp. RNAcentral's name for it is "partial 16S ribosomal RNA". It matches the Rfam family "Bacterial small subunit ribosomal RNA", at positions 108 to 354 of the family's 1533-position model. Lineage: Bacteria; Bacillati; Actinomycetota; Actinomycetes; Bifidobacteriales; Bifidobacteriaceae. The record is from RNAcentral.